UGGGGAAUAUUGCACAAUGGGCGGAAGCCUGAUGCAGCAACGCCGCGUGCGGGAUGACGGCCUUCGGGUUGUAAACCGCUUUCGCCUGUGACGAAGCGUGAGUGACGGUAAUGGGUAAAGAAGCACCGGCUAACUACGUGCCAGCAGCCGCGGUGAUACGUAGGGUGCGAGCGUUGUCCGGAUUUAUUGGGCGUAAAGGGCUCGUAGGUGGUUGAUCGCGUCGGAAGUGUAAUCUUGGGGCUUAACCCUGAGCGUGCUUUCGAUACGGGUUGACUUGAGGAAGGUAGGGGAGAAUGGAAUUCCUGGUGGAGCGGUGGAAUGCGCAGAUAUCAGGAGGAACACCAGUGGCGAAGGCGGUUCUCUGGGCCUUUCCUGACGCUGAGGAGCGAAAGCGUGGGGAGCGAACAGGCUUAGAUACCCUGGUAGUCCACGCUGUAAACGGUGGGUACUAGGUGUGGGGUCCAUUCCACGGGUUCCGUGCCGUAGCUAACGCUUUAAGUACCCCGCCUGGGG
Molecule: ribosomal RNA, 513 nt
Filed under: uncultured bacterium
Lineage: Bacteria
Description: partial 16S ribosomal RNA
Rfam family: Bacterial small subunit ribosomal RNA
Source: RNAcentral